UCCUUCUUCUUACAAAAGCAAGCUCAGAGUGGAGCAGCCGCCAGCAGCAGCCUCACCCAUCCCAUCUGUCAGGUCUCCGGAGGGCAUCCCGAGGCCUUGUCAAGUGGCGGACCUGCACCAUCCAGGCUUGGCUCCGUGCAGCCAUGAACCCCAGGAGCCUCACAGCUAAGGUGGCCGUGACCGUCAGCAGCCACCCAGAGCCCACGUGGAGCUCCACAAAAGCUGCGCCUCAGGAGAACUGCUACUGAACCGCUACCGGCUAACGUGCCUGGCACUUCCCUGCAAAGCUGCAAGGGCAGGGGUUCCCUUUAUUUGACCAGACGCAAAGUGCUUUCUGGGCAAAAAGCUCUUUUGCCGUGACAUUUGAUGAAAACAAUAAUGGUGACUGUUUAAUAUCAUGAUCGCCUGAGGCAGAAAUUCCAAUUAGACGUAGUAAGAAGCCAGUCAACAAACUUGAAAGGAAAAACUUGGGAAGAUGUCCAGAGGAGACUUGGAAAAACUCCAGCCUACCCCAGGAAUCUGGAAGGCCAUGAGCAUGCACAGGGCUGCUUCCCGGGAAAGAACCUAACUCCUCACUUCUCUCCCCUUGAGGGUCCAUGCAAGCAGGAGUCAAGGUCAAGGCAGUGUUGCAAGCUUCCUUCCGUGAAGGCAUACCCCCAAACUGACACAGAGGCCCCUGGCAAAGAACACAAGAUUAGUGCAAGGCAUUUAAGGGAGUCUCUUACUGACGGUUACCUGAAAACCAACCUAAACAAGCACAAACAUCAGUGGCUUCAGACUUCACAGAAUUAGCCCAAGAAAAUCACUAAACAAACAGAUGACAACAAACACCACCAACAACCCCGGUGGGACACAGGAACCUAAUUUCCAGAGAUGCUGUGUCAUAUUACUGAAAAUGUCAGCUUUCUACCCCCUACCCAAAUAAUAGUAAGACAUGCAAAGAACAAGAGACUGUGGCCUGGCUGUUGUUUGAAUGUUUUUGCCCUCUCCAAAAUUCAUGCUGAAAUUUAAGCCCCAGUGCGACAGUGUGGGGAGGUGUGGCUUUAGAAGACUGACGCAGGAGAGCUCCGCCCUCCUGGAUGAGAUGCGGAGCCCCUGUGCAGGGGCUGGAAGAAGCACUUCACCCCUGUGCCUCUCCAACUUCCACCAUGUGAAGACACAGGGUGCUCCUCCCCGAGGACACGCUGUUCAAGCAGCCAUCUUGGACCAAGUCCCAGCCAAACAGUGAGCCUGCUGGCACCUUGAUGUUGGACUCCCCGGCUUCCAGAACUAUCAGAGAAACAAUUCCUGUUCUUCGUAAACUACUCAGUCUGUAGUAUUUUGGGAAAGCAGCACAA
Molecule: non-coding RNA, 1337 nt
Organism: Oryctolagus cuniculus (rabbit)
Lineage: Eukaryota; Metazoa; Chordata; Mammalia; Lagomorpha; Leporidae
Source: RefSeq, a predicted model, not a curated record